This 614-nucleotide long non-coding RNA is filed under the name Helianthus annuus (common sunflower). Lineage: Eukaryota; Viridiplantae; Streptophyta; Magnoliopsida; Asterales; Asteraceae. The record is from RNAcentral.
AUCGUUCCACCUGCCUCCCCCAAACCCCACGAAGCCAUCACCACUAGAACAAUCUGCAGUUAACCCGCCACCACCACCACCCUCCGGAUACAGCUCGACAACACCAGAACCUGCACUCACCUCCUCGUUGCUCCACAGCCGCUGCUGCACCUACAGGUGUGGAUUGUGUGCAAUUGUAGGUAUACGGUGGUUGGCUUGAAGUAUCACCGUCAAAUAUUUGUGGGUUUGGUCCUAAUUUAUCAAAUGUGAGAGGAUUUGGUGAUUGCUAGGAAGUCAAAUGCGAGACAUAUGAAAAGAUCUUUCCUUUCAAGAACAUUUGCGCUAGGAGAAAGGUAAUCUAUAUCAGGGUACACUCAGUGGAAGAUGGGGCAUGGCUGGGUCUGAAUGAAGAGAGGCCAGAAACUACCAUCUUCCGACAAGUUAAGUUGCGGCAGGUGCUUUUCGAUACAUAACAGGUCUGCGAAUCAAAUUGUAGUUUAACUCAUACAAUGUCAAACUUCAAAUGUUUGUCAUCCUCGCCACAGCACGCGGGUUGAAAGCACUACUACUGUUUUAGUAUGGUGAUAUAAACAAACUCCUAUGUAAUUUUUGGUUGUUUGAAUGUGAAUUACUGU